This 319-nucleotide long non-coding RNA is filed under the name Carica papaya (papaya). Its description in RNAcentral is "long non-coding RNA (CPAP_LNC011074)". The record is from RNAcentral. Lineage: Eukaryota; Viridiplantae; Streptophyta; Magnoliopsida; Brassicales; Caricaceae.
CAUUCAUCACUAGUGUGACAUCUUGGUACCCAGAAGGUAACGGUGUCUGAUAACAGAAAAGAUACAAAUUUAUUAAUAUUAUAUGUACAAUAGAAAUUAAAUUCAUCCCUUACAAAAUACAAAAGUGUACACCACUGAGGCACAAAAAUUAGCUAUAAUUUACGAAAUGAUUAUUUAGUUAACUCUACAAAAUACAAAAUAGGGUCCAUCAGAGUAUAACACAUCAAAUGCACUCAUUUUUUACUGGCAUAAGAAUGGAUCCAAGCAAGCAUAAAGAGGUAGUUUGAGGGGUGAGUCUUCACUUUCCAUGUCAUCUGGG